Molecule: long non-coding RNA, 296 nt
Filed under: Sorghum bicolor (sorghum)
Lineage: Eukaryota; Viridiplantae; Streptophyta; Magnoliopsida; Poales; Poaceae
Description: long non-coding RNA (SBIC_LNC015321)
Source: RNAcentral
UGCUCAUAUACAGCACUCGAAAACAGAGCGUGGAAGUAUACUAUACUCUAUGAUGCAACUAACGUACCGAGAGUACCGAGUACGUACUACGGGUCACCGUAGACGACCGUACCUUUGUUUCUGCUGGCUUCGUCACCUAUGUACUACAUGUAAGAGGGUGUUUAGUUGGGUUGGUAAAGUUUAACAGGUACGGUAGUAUUUUUGUCUUAUUUUAAAAUUAUUGUUCAAUCAUAGACUAAUUAUGUUUAAAACACACAGCAAACACACAGCAGCAGCACGUACUACAACGUCCGGCU